This 497-nucleotide ribosomal RNA is filed under the name uncultured bacterium. RNAcentral's name for it is "partial 16S ribosomal RNA". It matches the Rfam family "Bacterial small subunit ribosomal RNA", at positions 28 to 507 of the family's 1533-position model. The record is from RNAcentral.
GAUGAACGCUGGCGGCGUGCCUAAUACAAGCAAGUCGAGCGAACGGACGAGAAGCUUGCUUCUCUGAUGUUAGCGGCGGACGGGUGAGUAACACGUGGAUAACCUACCUAUAAGACUGGGAUAACUUCGGGAAACCGGAGCUAAUACCGGAUAAUAUUUUGAACCGCAUGGUUCAAAAGUGAAAGACGGUCUUGCUGUCACUUAUAGAUGGAUCCGCGCUGCAUUAGCUAGUUGGUAAGGUAACGGCUUACCAAGGCAACGAUGCAUAGCCGACCUGAGAGGGUGAUCGGCCACACUGGAACUGGGACACGGUCCAGACUCCUACGGGAGGCAGCAGUAGGGAAUCUUCCGCAAUGGGCGAAAGCCUGACGGAGCAACGCCGCGUGAGUGAUGAAGGUCUUCGGAUCGUAAAACUCUGUUAUUAGGGAAGAACAUAUGUGUAAGUAACUGUGCACAUCUUGACGGUACCUAAUCAGAAAGCCACGGCUAACUACGUG